RNAcentral lists this transfer RNA (85 nucleotides) under Felis catus (domestic cat). It matches the Rfam family "tRNA". From Rfam's summary of the family: Transfer RNA (tRNA) molecules are approximately 80 nucleotides in length. Their secondary structure includes four short double-helical elements and three loops (D, anti-codon, and T loops). The record is from Rfam by way of RNAcentral. Lineage: Eukaryota; Metazoa; Chordata; Mammalia; Carnivora; Felidae.
GCCUGGCUGGCUCAGUCAGUUAAGCAUCUGACUUCAGCUCAGGUGAUGAUCUCAUGGUUUGUGGGUUUAAGCCCCACAUCAGGCU